This 393-nucleotide long non-coding RNA is filed under the name Micromonas pusilla. RNAcentral's name for it is "long non-coding RNA (MPUS_LNC000164)". The record is from RNAcentral. Lineage: Eukaryota; Viridiplantae; Chlorophyta; Mamiellophyceae; Mamiellales; Mamiellaceae.
CUCAGCGAAAAGAUCGGGUACUGGAGAUACAUCUCCAUCUACCGCCACCUCCAGGAGAACCCGAACGACCAGCUGUACCCGCUGUUCCAGUACUUCGAGAACUGGUGCCAGGAUGAGAACCGCCACGGCGAUUUCUUCACCGCGUGCCUCAAGGCGAGGCCGGAGUUCAUCAACGACUGGGAGGCGAAGCUCUGGGCGCGAUUCUUCUGCCUCUCCGUGUACGUCACCAUGUACCUCAACGAUCACAGCCGCACGGAGUUCUACGAGUCCAUCGGCCUCGACACGACGCAGUUUAACAUGCACGUGAUCCACCAGACGAACAAGACGACCGCGCAGAUCUUCCCGCAGGUGAUCGACACGUACAACCCGAAGUUCAAGGAGUACCUCGACAAC